RNAcentral lists this ribosomal RNA (397 nucleotides) under uncultured bacterium. RNAcentral describes it as "partial 16S ribosomal RNA". It matches the Rfam family "Bacterial small subunit ribosomal RNA", at positions 523 to 918 of the family's 1533-position model. The record is from RNAcentral.
CUACGUAGGUGACAAGCGUUAUCCGGAUUUACUGGGCGUAAAGGGCGUGUAGGCGGUCUUGCAAGUCAGAAGUGAAAUUCCUGAGCUCAACUCGGGCGCUGCUUCUGAAACUGCAGGACUUGAGUGCUGGAGGGGAUAGCGGAAUUCCUAGUGGAGCGGUAAAAUGCGCAGAUAUUAGGAAGAACACCGGUGGCGAAGGCGGCUAUCUGGACAGUAACUGACGCUGAGGCGCGAAAGCGUGGGGAGCAAACAGGAUUAGAUACCCUGGUAGUCCACGCCGUAAACGAUGAACACUAGGUGUAGGGGGUAUCGACUCCCUCUGUGCCGCAGUUAACACAAUAAGUAUUCCGCCUGGGGAGUACGGCCGCAAGGUUGAAACUCAAAUGAAUUGGCGGGG